GAAGAGGCUACGGGUCCCCGCGAGGCUCAACCGCAGCGGCAACGUCGCACUCUGAACCGAACGCGCCGGCGGAACCGGUCCCGGCGACGGCCGCGGCCGCAGCAGCAGCAGGUUCACCUCCAGGAACAAAGCACGCAGACGGACAUUGAGCCGCCGGGGAAGAGUCGCCACGCAGCGGCUUCUGCGCUAACGCGGUUGAAACGCGAAGCAGCUCGGUACGCACCCGCGUAGGAAGAUUCAGGCGCCGAGAGACGACACGUCCGACUCCCGCCCCCCAAUAAAGGGUGAACCGUGGUGGAAUUGUUAUAAAUACAAUAAAAUUCCCCACUUUGUCUUUGAGGAGAAUUCAUUCCCAAGAGUUGUGUGCGAUCCACGAAGUGUGUUACAGUUGGACGGCUUUCUUUCCGGGGUCCCAAAAAGCAACACUGCGCCUCGAGAGGCGAUUCAUCCAUCAAAGUGUCCGGCUGUUUGUCUUCUGUUUGACGUAUUUGCAGCAUGACGUAAAUGCUCCGUGUCGUUGGACUGCAAGAAAUGAGGUGAACAAGUUGGCCCCGUUCGCAUGGCAGUGAGAGCACAAGCAGCACCACAAUAACCUGUUGGAGAUAAUUGAAUUGCGCAGAAGGCAGAGGACCACGUCAGCUUAUAGACCGCCGUUGUUCAUUUGCUGAUAGAACAAAAGGCCUGAUGGAAAUACGAAGCCGUCUCCGUCCCUCCUGCUGCUUCUUUUGCCAAAACCUGCAGCCUGCCGAGGGAGUUUGGGCACAAAAGUUGCCUGAAGGGCAAGUGAGGUUCAGCACCACGGAC
Molecule: long non-coding RNA, 804 nt
Organism: Gasterosteus aculeatus aculeatus (three-spined stickleback)
Lineage: Eukaryota; Metazoa; Chordata; Actinopteri; Perciformes; Gasterosteidae
Source: Ensembl